RNAcentral lists this ribosomal RNA (793 nucleotides) under uncultured Methanosaeta sp. RNAcentral describes it as "bacterial SSU rRNA". It matches the Rfam family "Archaeal small subunit ribosomal RNA", at positions 85 to 879 of the family's 1478-position model. Lineage: Archaea; Methanobacteriati; Methanobacteriota; Methanomicrobia; Methanotrichales; Methanotrichaceae. The record is from RNAcentral.
ACGGCUCAGUAACACGUGGACAACCUACCNUCCGGACGGGUAUAAACCCGGGAAACUGGGUAUAAUCCCCGAUAGAUCUCGGUCGCUGGAAAGCCCCGAGAUCGAAAGNUCCGGCGCCAGAGGAUGGGUCUGCGGCCUAUCAGGUAGUAGUGGGUGUAGCGUACCUACUAGCCUACGACGGGUACGGGUUGUGAGAGCAAGAGCCCGGAGAUGGAUUCUGAGACACGAAUCCAGGCCCUACGGGGUGCAGCAGGCGCGAAAACUUUACAAUGCCGGCAACGGCGAUAAGGGGACCUCGAGUGCCAGGUUACAAAUCUGGCUGUCGUGAUGCCUAAAAAGCAUUGCAUAGCAAGGGCCGGGCAAGACCGGUGCCAGCCGCCGCGGUAACACCGGCGGCUCGAGUGGUAACCGUUAUUAUUGGGUCUAAAGGGUCUGUAGCCGGCCGGAUAAGUCUCUUGAGAAAUCCAGCAGCUCAACUGUUGGGCUUUCAGGAGAUACUGUUCGGCUCGAGGCCGGGAGAGGUGAGAGGUACUUCAGGGGUAGGGGUGAAAUCUUGUAAUCCUUGAAGGACCACCAGUGGCGAAGGCGUCUCACCAGAACGGACCUGACGGCAAGGGACGAAAGCUAGGGGCACGAACCGGAUUAGAUACCCGGGUAGUCCUAGCCGUAAACGAUACUCGCUAGGUGUCGGCCACGGUGCGACCGUUGUCGGUGCCGUAGGGAAGCCGUGAAGCGAGCCACCUGGGAAGUACGGCCGCAAGGCUGAAACUUAAAGGAAUUGGCGGGGGAGCAC